AGAGUUUGAUCCUGGCUCAGGAUGAACGCUGGCGGCGUGCUUAACACAUGCAAGUCGAACGAAGCACUUUACCUGAUCCCUUCGGGGUGAUCGAAUUGUGACUGAGUGGCGGACGGGUGAGUAACGCGUGGGUAACCUGCCUCAUACAGGGGGAUAACAGCUGGAAACGGCUGCUAAUACCGCAUAAGCGCACAGUACCGCAUGGUACGGUGUGAAAAACUCCGGUGGUAUGGGAUGGACCCGCGUCUGAUUAGCCAGUUGGCGGGGUAACGGCCCACCAAAGCGACGAUCAGUAGCCGACCUGAGAGGGUGACCGGCCACAUUGGGACUGAGACACGGCCCAAACUCCUACGGGAGGCAGCAGUGGGGAAUAUUGCACAAUGGGGGAAACCCUGAUGCAGCGACGCCGCGUGAGCGAAGAAGUAUUUCGGUAUGUAAAGCUCUAUCAGCAGGGAAGAAGAAAUGACGGUACCUGACUAAGAAGCCCCGGCUAACUACGUGCCAGCAGCCGCGGUAAUACGUAGGGGGCAAGCGUUAUCCGGAUNUACUGGGUGUAAAGGGAGCGCAGGCGGAUGGCUAAGUCUGAUGUGAAAGCCCGGGGCUCAACCCCGGGACUGCAUUGGAAACUGGUCAUCUGGAGUGUCGGAGAGGUAAGUGGAAUUCCUAGUGUAGCGGUGACAUGCGUAGAUAUUAGGAGGAACACCCGUGCGGAGGUCGGCUAUGUGUACGACAACUGACGGUGAGGUCGGAAAGGCUGGGGACCAACAGGAUUAGAUACACUGGUAGUCCACGCCGUAAACGAUGGAUACUAGUGCUCGGGGGACAUAGUCUUCGGUGCCGCACCAACGCAGUAAGUAUUCCACCUGGGGAGUACGUUCGCAAGAAUGAUACUCAAAGGAAUCGACGGGGACCCGCACAAGCGGUGGAGCAUGUGGUUUAAUUGGAAGCGACGCGAAGAACCUUACCAAGUCUUGACAUCCCGGUGACCAAGUAUGUAAUGUACUCUCUCUUCGGAGCGCCGGUGACAGGUGGUGCAUGGUUGUCGUCAGCUCGUGUCGUGAGAUGUUGGGUUAAGUCCCGCAACGAGCGCAACCCUUAUCCUUAGUAGCCAGCGGCAAGGCCGGGCACUCUAGGGAGACUGACCAGGGAUAACCUGGAGGAAGGCGGGGAUGACGUCAAAUCGUCAUGCCCCUUAUGACUUGGGCUACACACGUGCUACAAUGGCGUAAACAAAGGGAAGCGAGCCUGUGAAGGGGAGCGAAUCCCAACAAUAACGUCCCAGUUCGGACUGUAGUGGUGCAACCCGGACUACGACGAAGCGGGAAUCGCUGAGUAAUCGCGAACCAGCAUAUCCCGCUGAAUACGUUACCGGG
Molecule: ribosomal RNA, 1373 nt
Filed under: uncultured bacterium
Lineage: Bacteria
Description: 16S ribosomal RNA
Rfam family: Bacterial small subunit ribosomal RNA
Source: RNAcentral